AUUGAACGCUGGCGGCAUGCCUUACACAUGCAAGUCGAACGGAAGCACGGGGGCUUGUCCUUGGUUGAGCGUGGCGCACGGGAGUGUUACAUAUCAGAACAUGUCCUGUUGUGGGGUAUAGUCCGGCGAAAGGCGCUUAUAUCGCGCACAUGCUCUACGGAUGAGAGCGGGAGCUUUUGGGGUCUCGCUCUCUGGGGAUGGCAGGUCGCAUUAGCUAGUUGGUGGGGGAAAGGCCUACCAAGGCGACGAUCCGUGUCUGGGGUGAGAGGAGGAGCAGCCACACUGGAACUGAGACACGGCCCAGACUCCUACGGGAGGCAGCAGUGGGGAAUUUUGGACAAUGGGCGAAAGCCUGAUCCAGCAAUGCCGCGUGUGUGAAGAAGGCCUUCGGGUUGUAAAGCACUUUUGGCUGGAAAGAAAGCCUGUGCCCUAAUACGGUCGUGGGAUGACGGUACCGGAAGAAUAAGCACCGGCUAACUACGUG
Molecule: ribosomal RNA, 484 nt
Filed under: uncultured bacterium
Lineage: Bacteria
Description: partial 16S ribosomal RNA
Rfam family: Bacterial small subunit ribosomal RNA
Source: RNAcentral